UCUCAAUUAACUAAUUAAUUUAAAAAAAAAAAACAAAAAAAACAAAAAAGGACUAAGUAAAUGAUGAUGAAUACUAAAUGUAGAACUUCUUCCUCAACCAAGAAUGAUGACAUCCACUUCUUUACUUCCAUACAGAACAUUAAAUGAAUCUUCUUUAUGUGGGAAUCUUUCAGACCCAAGAGGAAAGAACUAAAGAUACUCACAUGGAUGUUGACAUCAGGGAUUUCCCUAAAAAAGACCCAGGCUAGCCUAACAAACAGGAAAUCUCACCAUGAACAAGCCUCACCCACUCACUCAGAGCUUCCAGGCAGCUCUUGAGGCCCCCACUUCUAAAUAUGAGGAGGCAAUUGAGCACAAAGAGAUCUGAGAAAAACCUGAACAGAAAAAAAAUGUAGUGAAAAUAGAAAGUAUGCAGGAAGAAGAAUAACAAAACUCUCAAUGUCUUCAGAGAGGUCACGAAUUCUUAUUUCAAUGUACUCAUGAAGUCAGAAUUGGAAACUAUAAAAAAAUUUUCAGAAAAUGAAAAAGAGCCCUUAGGAAAAAAACAGAAGGAGGGCCCAGUAACCCCCCAGCAUGAUGCCUGAAAAUAGACUGUCUUAGUCCAUUUGUGUUGCUAUAACAAAAUAGCUGAGACUGAGUCAUUUAUAAAGAACAGAAAUUUAUUUUCUCACAGUUCUAGAGGCUGGGGAGUUCGAGAUCAAGGGGCUGGCAGGUUCAGUUGUCUGAUGAGGGCUGCUCUUUGCUUCCAAGAUAGCGCCCUGAAUGCUGCAUUCCCCAGAGGGGAGGAGUGCUGUGUCCCCACAUGGCAGAAAGCAGAAGGGCAAAGAGGGUUAGACUCCCUCCACUAAGCUCUUUCAUAAGAGCACCUAAUCCCAAGGAGAAGUGCUCUCAUCAUCUAAUAACCUUUUAAAGGACCCACCCCUUAAUACCAUCACCUUGGCCAUUGAGUUUCAACCCAUGAAUUUUGGAGGGGACACAUUCCAACCAUAGUAUGGAUUCAUGCCAGUGAACUGGGUUCAGAGAGAAGAUUCUAGAAGUUUCCAGAAAACACAACACACAAAAGUUAGGGGAUCUGAAUAAGUUCAGAUUUCUCAAAAGGAACUGUGGAACAUAGAAUACAGUAGAACAAUGCUUUCAAAAUUCUGAGGGAAAAUUAUUUCCAACCCAGUAUUCUAUAGUCAGUCAAGUAGCAAAUCAAGUAUGGGUGAGGAAUAAAAACAUUUUUAAAGACUUGUAUAUUCUCAAAAACUUUACCUCCCACACACCCUUUCUCAGGAAGCUAGUGGAUAAAAGAUGUGCUCUACCUGAAGGAAUGAGUAAACCAAGAAAGAGGAAGACAGUAACCAGGAAGAAGGAGAUCCACACAGGGGAGAGGCAAAAGGAAUCCACAGGAUGUUGGUAAAGGGAGAAUGUUAGCUGAGAAGCAGCUCAGAUGACUCUGGGAGAGGCUUUUUUCUAGAAGACAAAAAUCAGAUGCUUGAUGUGACUGAACAUACUGAAAGGAGACAUAGUUCUCAUGUCUUGGUACUACCCUCACCAGCUGUUGCCUGUGAAGCAAAUCUUUUGCAGUGGUUCCAGUACUAUGCUGAUAGACUACACAAAGAUGCUUGCUGGCUUCAGAGUGAUUUUAUUCGAAUGAACAUGCCCUCUGGACCCUUGGGGCGAUGUCUAAUUUUCUUGGGGUGAAGGGAACGGUGUGCGGAUUUAAGGUCUGUACGAACCCUCACAUCCCAGGUAUGGAAGCAUAAGAAAACUGAAAAGCCCAGGCUUAAUCUUAAAAUAGAUAAAAGGAAACUCACAAGCAAUGACGUUACAACCACUCGGAGCGAUCCGCUGCCAUUUCCUCAGACAACUGCACACAGGAGAGCCAAAGGUGCUUCUUUGGUAAAAUAACUAGUUCAUUAGCUUUAACACUGGCACUGCCUCAGCUGAGGGAUGAAACACUGGUACUGCCCCAGAUGACAGCAUUUGUUUGCGAUGGAGUCAACACAUGACUGAAAAGACCAAAAUAGUGGUUGCUGAAAGAAUUUAACAUGUUAUUGUUUAGCUUGACUCCAGUAACAAAAUCACCUCCUUCAUGUUGCUUUAAUCUUGGCCUAUACUCCAGCAGCUUUAUAGCUUGUCCAAUCCCCCUUCAUUGUAAGACAUGACAUUCUAGGAAUGAGCCUUCCUAGUGAUGUGGGACUAAACUCAAGGACAUAAAGGAGUCAAAAUUAUUGAGUUCAUCUAUGAUGCUUUCUUUGAAAGAUCUUGAUGGAAAGGGGAAAAUGUGCAAAUAAAUAAAAUUUAAAAGCUGUUGGAACCCAAAAACUCUUUAAGUUUUAAGAGAGAUUUAACUGUGAUCUGUCAUGCAACAUGUCGUUGUGACUUCUGCUUCUUAGAUUAUAGAUUAACUCUCUUCCUCAUUGUUCUUGUUUUGAAAAUGACUAGGAAAGACCAGGGACCAGAACUCCUCCCCUUUCAAUCACUGGUCUUUGCUAUAAAUUAACUGCCUCCUUAUUGUCCUAUACCUAAUUUAGGCCAGAUGGUGCAAAAGACCCCGUGACUGUCACAUCUUCAGUUUGGAACGUUAAAGAUACCUUUUCAGUAAAGAAAAAGAUCACCUCAACUAAUCAGAUUACUAAAACUAUGCAUUAGAAUUUAUAUAGAAAGAUGUUAAGAUUCUGUUAGGUAUCUACCUUAUAACUGACCUCAAACUUCUACACGUUGGAACACUGACUUCUAUUCUUUGGAAUCUGUGCUUCCUGGGUGAUCAUCCCCAAACUUAGCACUUGAAUAAACUCUCUUCAAACUAUAUCCUGACGCUUUUGAUUAUUUUAGGUUGACAAGAGAUUAGGUGUAUUUCCUGAAUUUCUUAGAGAGUAGCCGAGCUGGGAAUCAAAUUCCCAGCUCAUACUCUGAAUCAGUGCUGUGUGUCACC
This is a non-coding RNA of Microcebus murinus (gray mouse lemur), 2920 nucleotides long. NCBI's taxonomy places the organism in Eukaryota, Metazoa, Chordata, Mammalia, Primates, Cheirogaleidae. The record is from RefSeq and is a predicted model, not a curated record.